RNAcentral lists this ribosomal RNA (253 nucleotides) under uncultured bacterium. RNAcentral's name for it is "partial 16S ribosomal RNA". It matches the Rfam family "Bacterial small subunit ribosomal RNA", at positions 524 to 776 of the family's 1533-position model. The record is from RNAcentral.
UACGUAGGGUGCGAGCGUUGUCCGGAAUUAUUGGGCGUAAAGAGCUCGUAGGCGGUCUGUCGCGUCGGCUGUGAAAUCCCGAGGCUCAACCUCGGGUCUGCAGUCGAUACGGGCAAACUAGAGUACUGCAGGGGAGUCUGGAAUUCCUGGUGUAGCGGUGAAAUGCGCAGAUAUCAGGAGGAACACCGGUGGCGAAGGCGGGUCUCUGGGCAGUAACUGACGCUGAGGAGCGAAAGCGUGGGGAGCAAACAGG